Molecule: ribosomal RNA, 866 nt
Filed under: Arthrobacter oryzae
Lineage: Bacteria; Bacillati; Actinomycetota; Actinomycetes; Micrococcales; Micrococcaceae
Description: bacterial SSU rRNA
Rfam family: Bacterial small subunit ribosomal RNA
Source: RNAcentral
UGCAGUCGAACGAUGAUCCCAGCUUGCUGGGGGAUUAGUGGCGAACGGGUGAGUAACACGUGAGUAACCUGCCCUUAACUCUGGGAUAAGCCUGGGAAACUGGGUCUAAUACCGGAUAUGACUCCUCAUCGCAUGGUGGGGGGUGGAAAGCUUUUUGUGGUUUUGGAUGGACUCGCGGCCUAUCAGCUUGUUGGUGAGGUAAUGGCUCACCAAGGCGACGACGGGUAGCCGGCCUGAGAGGGUGACCGGCCACACUGGGACUGAGACACGGCCCAGACUCCUACGGGAGGCAGCAGUGGGGAAUAUUGCACAAUGGGCGCAAGCCUGAUGCAGCGACGCCGCGUGAGGGAUGACGGCCUUCGGGUUGUAAACCUCUUUCAGUAGGGAAGAAGCGAAAGUGACGGUACCUGCAGAAGAAGCGCCGGCUAACUACGUGCCAGCAGCCGCGGUAAUACGUAGGGCGCAAGCGUUAUCCGGAAUUAUUGGGCGUAAAGAGCUCGUAGGCGGUUUGUCGCGUCUGCCGUGAAAGUCCGGGGCUCAACUCCGGAUCUGCGGUGGGUACGGGCAGACUAGAGUGAUGUAGGGGAGACUGGAAUUCCUGGUGUAGCGGUGAAAUGCGCAGAUAUCAGGAGGAACACCGAUGGCGAAGGCAGGUCUCUGGGCAUUAACUGACGCUGAGGAGCGAAAGCAUGGGGGAGCGAACAGGAUUAGAUACCCUUGGUAGUCCAUGCCCGUAAACGUUUGGGCACUAAGGUGUGGGGGGACAUUCCCACGUUUUCCCGCGGCCGUAGCUAACCGCAUUAAAGUGCCCCGGCCUGGGGGAGUACGGGCCGCAAAGGCUAAAAACUCCAAAAGGAAUUUGACCG